Molecule: transfer RNA, 89 nt
Filed under: Nitrospinota bacterium
Lineage: Bacteria; Pseudomonadati; Nitrospinota
Description: Nitrospinae bacterium tRNA-Ser
Rfam family: tRNA
About the family: Transfer RNA (tRNA) molecules are approximately 80 nucleotides in length. Their secondary structure includes four short double-helical elements and three loops (D, anti-codon, and T loops).
Source: RNAcentral
GGAGAGGUGCUAGAGAGGUCGAAUAGGGCGGCCUGCUAAGCCGUUGUACGGGUAACACCGUACCGUGGGUUCGAAUCCCACCCUCUCCG